RNAcentral lists this ribosomal RNA (836 nucleotides) under Haptophyta environmental samples. Its description in RNAcentral is "bacterial SSU rRNA". It matches the Rfam family "Bacterial small subunit ribosomal RNA", at positions 481 to 1325 of the family's 1533-position model. Lineage: Eukaryota; Haptophyta. The record is from RNAcentral.
GAGGAAUAAGCAUCGGCUAACUCCGUGCCAGCAGCCGCGGUAAUACGGGGGAUGCAAGCGUUAUCCGGAUUUAUUGGGCGUAAAGCGCCUGUAGGUUGUUUAAUAAGUCUGUUGUUAAAGACUAGGGCUUAACCCUAGGAAAGCAAUGGAAACUACUAGACUAGAGUGUGAUAGGGGUAGAGGGAAUUUCUAGUGUAGCGGUGAAAUGCGUAGAUAUUAGGAAGAACACCGGUGGCGAAGGCGCUCUACUGGAUCAUUACUGACACUCAGAGGCGAAAGCUAGGGUAGCAAAAGGGAUUAGAUACCCCUGUAGUCCUAGCCGUAAACGAUGGAUACUACAUGUUGCGUUUUUAUGCAGUAUGGUAGCUAACGCGUUAAGUAUCCCGCCUGGGGAGUACGCUCGCAAGGGUGAAACUCAAAGGAAUUGACGGGGGCCCGCACAAGCGGUGGAGCAUGUGGUUUAAUUCGAUGCAACGCGAAGAACCUUACCAAGGCUUGACAUACUACAGAUUUCUUUGAAAGAAGAAAGUGCCUUCGGGAAUGUAGAUACAGGUGGUGCAUGGCUGUCGUCAGCUCGUGUCGUGAGAUGUUGGGUUAAGUCCCGCAACGAGCGCAACCCUUGUUUUUAGUUGCCAAUUUAUUUGGGUUUUCUAGAAAGACUGCCGGUGACAAACCGGAGGAAGGUGAGGAUGACGUCAAGUCAGCAUGCCCCUUAUGCCUUGGGCUACACACGUGCUACAAUGGUUAAGACAAAGAGUUGCAAGCUUGUGAAAGUUAGCUAAUCUCGUAAACUUAAUCUAAGUUCGGAUUGUAGGCUGCAACUCGCCUACAUGAAG